GCCGGGCACGGUGGUGCAUGCCUGUAACCCUAGCAGCUUGGGAGGCAGAGACAGGAGGAUCUUGAGUUCAAAGCCAGCCUCAGCAACAGUGAGGUGCUAAGCAACUCAGUGAGACCCUGUCUCUA
RNAcentral lists this small RNA (125 nucleotides) under Marmota monax (woodchuck). The record is from RNAcentral. Lineage: Eukaryota; Metazoa; Chordata; Mammalia; Rodentia; Sciuridae.